CCUACGGGGUGCAGCAGUGGGGAAUAUUGGGCAAUGGAGGAAACUCUGACCCAGCAACGCCGCGUGAAUGAUGGAGGUCUACGGACGGUAAAGUUCUUUUCUAAGGGAAGAAUAAAGUGCCGGUACCUCAGGAAUAAGCCUCGGCUAACUACGUGCUAGCAGCCGCGGUAAUACGUAGGAGGCGAGCGUUAUCCGGAAUGACUGGGCGUAAAGGGUGCGUAGGUGGUUUGGCAAGUUAGUAGCGUAACUCCAAGGCUCAACCAUCGUACUACUACUAAAACUGAUGGACUUGAGUGCAGGAGGGGCAACCGGAAUUCCUAGUGUAGCGGUGGAAUGCGUAGAUAUUACGAAGAACCCCAGUGGCGAAGGCGGGUUGCUGGACUGUAACUGACGCUGAGGCACGAAAGCGUGGGGAGCGAACAGGAUUAGACACCCCGGUAGUC
RNAcentral lists this ribosomal RNA (443 nucleotides) under uncultured bacterium. Its description in RNAcentral is "partial 16S ribosomal RNA". It matches the Rfam family "Bacterial small subunit ribosomal RNA", at positions 338 to 795 of the family's 1533-position model. The record is from RNAcentral.